AGUGAACGCUGGCGGUAGGCCUAACACAUGCAAGUCGAACGGCAGCACAGUAAGAGCUUGCUCUUACGGGUGGCGAGUGGCGGACGGGUGAGGAAUACAUCGGAAUCUACUUUUUCGUGGGGGAUAACGUAGGGAAACUUACGCUAAUACCGCAUACGACCUACGGGUGAAAGCAGGGGAUCUUCGGACCUUGCGCGAUUGAAUGAGCCGAUGUCGGAUUAGCUAGUUGGCGGGGUAAAGGCCCACCAAGGCGACGAUCCGUAGCUGGUCUGAGAGGAUGAUCAGGAACACUGGAACUGAGAAACGGUCCAGAAUCCUACGGGAGGCAGCAGUGGGGAAUAUUGGACAAUGGGAGAAAGCCUGAUCCAGCCAUACCGCGUGGGUGAAGAAGGCCUUCGGGUUGUAAAGCCCUUUUGUUGGGAAAGAAAAGCAGCAGGUUAAAACCCCGCUGUUCGGACGGUACCCAAAGAAUAAGCACCGGCUAACUUCGU
This 491-nucleotide ribosomal RNA is filed under the name uncultured bacterium. RNAcentral's name for it is "partial 16S ribosomal RNA". It matches the Rfam family "Bacterial small subunit ribosomal RNA", at positions 29 to 506 of the family's 1533-position model. The record is from RNAcentral.